AGUUGUUCAUUCUCAGCUUUCUGAUUGUAGCUGAAAUAUGACCCCACCCGCUUCACACUCUUGCUUUCGUGGAGAAGUCCACCACUAGGCUUCCCUACCAUGACAAAACCACAUCCUGAACUCGCCUCUGGUGGACAGGUUUGGUUAUGCUCACUUUAGUAGCAGCCACUCAGAACAAACUGGUUGAGACAAGAUGAAAUAUGAAUACAGUUAUGCAUGCUCCAGUAUGAUCUUUCUCAUGGAGGUGAAAAGAAUAAGGCAUAUUGUACAGUCUCUUUGUAAACUGUGAAGUACUGUCAGGGUGCUGGAAUCUCUCAUUUCUGCAGAGAGAUGACUAUAUCCAUCGGGAAGGAUUUCCCACUAGGAGCAGAAGACCCGAGAUUAGUGUAGGUGAUACAAGUUAGAGGUUUUCCAAUUUCUGGGAGUUGUCAUGGUGUUGGUCCAUCAUGCCUGCAGUCCCAGGCAAGAAGACAGAGAAAGUGUUGGGGGUGUUUGGUCAUGCUGAAGGAUCUGAGUCUAUCAUGGCUGCAAAGAGUCGUGGCUGUAGGAGCUGGAACCUGACUCACACCUUCACAUGAAAGAAUGAAACAGAGAGCAAACAGGAAGCAAGGCAAGACUAUAAAGAGACAAAGUCCACCCCCAGUGACAUUAAGGUCUUCCACCAAGGUUCCUUCCAUCAACAAGAUUCCACAACCUCCCCCCAUAGGGGACCAAGUGUUCUGAGCCAAUGGAGGACCCUCUCAUUUCAAACUAACACAAAGUGUUAUUUGGACACUUAAUCCAUCUGCUCUCUGAAUGUUGGCUCCUGUUCCCUGGACUCCACCCAUUUCCCUGACUGACAGGCAGAAAUUUGGGACUUUGAACUCAGGGGAUGGAUUUCUAUCUUGGAGCUGUCAGUUUCCUGCUCUGUGGAUGAAUUGUGCCAAAACCCUAGCCUUGUGUAGCUGAUAUGAGAAAGGAUGUCCAGCCAAUAUUUAACACCACAUCUGGCAGACACCAGACUAAUGAAUACCUAAGUUCCCUUGACUUUCUGUCUUGUGUCAGCUUCCCCCCUGCUCCCCGUGCCUUUCUUUUGAGCAGUGGUGAGUCUCCUCUCUUGGGCUUCAUCUUGUAUAAUGUGAAGUUUUGGCAAGGCCCUUCAUAUUUCUCCCUUGCCCAGGGGAGGCUUGCUGAGGGAACACAAAUGACUUUUCUUCAGCACCUGUAUAUACAAUGUCUGAAACUGCAAUAAAAGAGAGUUGGCAAGAGACCCAAA
This is a long non-coding RNA of Mus musculus (house mouse), 1255 nucleotides long. RefSeq annotates it as predicted gene, 57856. The transcript is spliced from 5 exons. The record is from RefSeq and is marked validated. NCBI's taxonomy places the organism in Eukaryota, Metazoa, Chordata, Mammalia, Rodentia, Muridae.